Molecule: long non-coding RNA, 1183 nt
Organism: Acanthochromis polyacanthus (spiny chromis)
Lineage: Eukaryota; Metazoa; Chordata; Actinopteri; Pomacentridae
Exons: 3
Source: RefSeq, a predicted model, not a curated record
ACCGCAUCCCUGCUUUGAUUUCAUCUUUUAUAUUUUUUUGCUCAAAGUCGCGCACUUUUAUGCUUCCACCUCACCAUAAACACGUGUAUGACAAGUUUAUAAUUGUAGCUCCAAAUCGGCGUGUUGGUGUGUGCCACAUGGAGGCAGAGGAGGCCAUAAUUGGCAUUCCUACCUCUGUGUGCCAGCCGGCUCUCUCUCCUCUCGUCAGAGUGAGAGUUGACAAAGAGAGCGCCAAGCGUUUCCAAUCCCACAUCCCUCACUUUUUUUUUCUUCGCGGCCUGUGACGAGAAGAAGGCGAGAUAUGUGUGUGCGAGUGUGUGUGUUUUGGAUUAGUGUCUUGCUGCACAAUAAAUCUUUGUUAAACAAAUGCAAAGCAGAUGGCACCGUGGUGUCUCCACCGUGAGGAGAGAAAGAAAGAGAGAAGGGGAGAGAGAAAAAAGGAGGAAGAAAGAGAAAAAAAAACACGCCUACUCCUUAUUCUCAUCCUCCACAGACACACUGAUCACGCACAUUACACAGACGGUGACUGUGUUGAGCUGCAAAACACUUAAUCCUGGAGUGGAAGCUAAAGGUGGUGUCUGAAUGCUGACGGACACCCAAACACAUUCUGUUCAUGAGAGAGAACAUUUUGUUUAAUAUCAAAAGGGACCGUUAGCGUGCCUGUUGAUAUUAAUGACACAGCUGACAUUUUUUUUUGCCCCAACGCACAUGAAGAAGACGUGACCAGGCCACGCACCCCAUUAAAAUAAGCGGAUUGAAGAAGAACAGGCCUGAUUGUCUCGCCUGAGUGCACUGCCACAGACGGGACCUUAUUCAUACGGAUACUUCAGCAAAUUCAGGUGUCACACCUGCUUAAUCCGGUCCUCGAAGUCGCAGCGGUGGUACAACGGGGAGUGGACCAUAUUAGCAAAGAUCAUCACAGCGCGGAGAAGAAGAAGCGAGAAGAAUGCAUCAAGUACUGUAGUUGAUGGAGUUGCUUUGAAUAAACUAAUUAGGCUGGAGUGUGUAUUUUGCAGCAGGUGCAGUCUGUAUUGCAGGUGCAGCAAUACUCUCUAUUAAUGUGCGGGAAGUACAAUAUCUACGUAAUCAAAGUGAUGGCUCAGCAAACACAUUCUUACCUAUACAUUUUUCCACGGUAGAAAAAAGUUGGGCAGUGUCUGAAAGAUAAAGCCUAAUGUGCACA